Molecule: ribosomal RNA, 494 nt
Filed under: uncultured bacterium
Lineage: Bacteria
Description: partial 16S ribosomal RNA
Rfam family: Bacterial small subunit ribosomal RNA
Source: RNAcentral
GACGAACGCUGGCGGCGUGCUUAACACAUGCAAGUCGAACGGUAAAGCGCCAUCCUUUUUGGUGGGGGUGGGUGAGUGGCGAACAGGUGAGUAACACGUGAGUAACCUGCCCCCUUCUUCUGGCUAACCGCGUGAAAGUGUGGCUAAUACAGGAUAUUCUGGGUAAGUAGCAUGAUGGGUCUGGGUAAGAUAUUGUUUAGGUGGGGGAUGGGCACGCGGCCUAUCAGCAUGUGGGUGGGGUGAGUGCCUACCAAGGCGGUGACGGGUAGCCGGCCUGCGAGGGUUGCCUGUCUCGCUGGGGCUGAGGCACAGCCCCGCUUGCUACGCGACGCGGCAGUGGCGACUACUGCAGACAGCGCGCGAGCCUGUUGCAGCGUCGCCGCGUGAGUGAUGGAGCCCUGCGGGGUGUGAACCUCUGUCGCUAGUGAUGCAGGCCUGCCUCGUUUGUGGUUAGGUUGACGGUAGCUGGAUAAGAAGCGCCGGCUAACUACGUG